AUCAGUCCGGAGUCUUUGGGUUAUCGUUUAUAUUCCGCCUGGGUUACUAAAUCUUUAGUUAAACCCUCUGGAACAACACACCACCCCAUUGACAUCAACUUGACUGAAAA
Molecule: small RNA, 110 nt
Filed under: Caenorhabditis briggsae
Lineage: Eukaryota; Metazoa; Nematoda; Chromadorea; Rhabditida; Rhabditidae
Description: snoRNA CBG29665
Rfam family: Nematode sRNA ceN72-3_ceN74-2
Source: Rfam by way of RNAcentral